Molecule: ribosomal RNA, 777 nt
Filed under: uncultured Neocallimastigales
Lineage: Eukaryota; Fungi; Neocallimastigomycota; Neocallimastigomycetes; Neocallimastigales
Description: partial large subunit ribosomal RNA
Rfam family: Eukaryotic large subunit ribosomal RNA
Source: RNAcentral
UAGAUGCGAGAGUAGAGCAUAUCAAUAAGCGGAGGAAAAGAAACUAACAAGGAUUCCCUUAGUAACGGCGAGUGAAGCGGGAAGAGCUCAAAUUUGAAAUCUUCAAGGGUUUCCCUUGACGAAUUGUAGUUUAAAGAAGUGUUUUCUGUUAGAGAGGUGGUAAAAGUUCUUUGGAAUAGGACAUCAUAGAGGGUGAGAAUCCCGUAUUUGAUCACUUUCUACUAACGUUGUGAUACACUUUCAAAGAGUCGGAUUGUUUGGGAAUGCAGUCCAAAAUGGGUGGUAAAUUUCAUCUAAAGCUAAAUAUUGGCGAGAGACCGAUAGCGAACAAGUACCGUGAGGGAAAGAUGAAAAGAACUUUGAAAAGAGAGUUAAACAGUACGUGAAAUUGUCAAAAGGGAAGCGUUUGACACCAGUGUUGUUUUCUCGAAAAUCAAUUAAAAAUGGUGGGAUUUUGUGUUGUAUUGACUUUAUCAGCUUUCUGCACUCUUUUUCCUAUCUUUUUUAAUGCACUUUUCGUUUAACAAGUCAACAUCAAUUUCUUUUGUUGUAAAAGGGUCAUUGGAAGGUGGCUUUCUUUUCGGAGAAAGUGUAUAUAGCCUUUGAUCUCUGCGACCGGAGAGACUGAGGUCUGCAGCGUAGACUCUUCGGGGUUAGAUACAUUUGUGCUAAGCUAUAGCUUUUUAUAGACAACUUGUUGACUAUAUUUAGUCUUGUGGCUUAGCUCGCUUAUGCUAUUUUACCUACGCUUAGGAUGUUGACGAGACUGUCGAUCUC